UUUUGAAGUUCAUGUCUGUUUAUGCUACUGAAUUGAUCGGGAAAUUCAAAGAGCCAUCUCUAAAACUAAUAAAGAAAAUCAUCAGCAAUAUGCCACCAAAGUACAUAAUACACUUACAGAAACAAUUCAACUCUUGUGUGAGCAAAUACCACACAAUAAUCGGAGAGCCGGACAUUCUGAUAUCUUUCAAAGAUUGGUACAAAAGAUACGACAUCAAAACCAAAACGGAAAAUAUAAAUAAAGAUAACAUUCACAAAGAAUAUUCUUUAGACAUAAAAGCCUUAAAAAUAUACUCAGAAUUGUUGAAAAUACCAGCGUAUAUAUGCGAUGAUUCAAUUUUGAAUCUAUGCGAUACGGUUUUGGACAUAUACACCGAAAAUGGAGAGAAAUACAUAGAUAUAUACAAGGAAUACCUGUCAGAUAUGUUGAAUGUAUCUUUAAGACUUAAAAUAUUUGACGAAAUAACGCAGCAUAUUGUCAAAAGUCACAACAAAAUUGGUUUGAAGUUUAUAAAGUAUUUUAUAGAUGUGUAUUCUGUGUAUUUUAUAAAGAAACCGUAUAUUUUGAUGGGGACUAGUAAUGAAAUAUCGGCAGUUUUGGGAGAUGUAUUGAAAAGUUGUUUGAAAAAGAAAAUGACUGUUGAAGACAGUGUUAAAGUGUUGGAGCUUAUUGAUACGAUAUGGCCCGUAUACCAAGCGCAGUCCACCUUCGAGGACAAAUGUUCGCUACUGUCCCACACAACCCGGCUGCCGGUGCGACUGGCCUGGGACACUGUCCCGAUUCAGUGGGUGUCCCGGGCGAUUGUGGGAGCGGGAGGAGAGAGGCUGGUUGGGACGCUGCCGGGCGGGGACGA
This is a long non-coding RNA of Ostrinia nubilalis (European corn borer), 853 nucleotides long. RefSeq lists it as uncharacterized. The record is from RefSeq and is a predicted model, not a curated record. NCBI's taxonomy places the organism in Eukaryota, Metazoa, Arthropoda, Insecta, Lepidoptera, Crambidae. The transcript is spliced from 3 exons.